Otolemur garnettii (small-eared galago) is the source of this 97-nucleotide unclassified non-coding RNA. It matches the Rfam family "Y RNA". Rfam says of the family: Y RNAs are components of the Ro ribonucleoprotein particle (Ro RNP), in association with Ro60 and La proteins. NCBI's taxonomy places the organism in Eukaryota, Metazoa, Chordata, Mammalia, Primates, Galagidae. The record is from Ensembl.
GGCUGGACCAAGUGCAGUGGUGUUUAUAAUUGACCACACCAGAUACAGAUUCCUUUGUUUCUUUUCUACUCCCACUGCUUCAUUUGACUAACCGUAA